Molecule: RNA transcript, 729 nt
Organism: Lycium barbarum (goji berry)
Lineage: Eukaryota; Viridiplantae; Streptophyta; Magnoliopsida; Solanales; Solanaceae
Exons: 4
Source: RefSeq, a predicted model, not a curated record
CAAUAUUGUGAGAGUAUUUUGUUGACUUAUGUGCUGCAAGGAAUUAUCUUCUACAAAAGGGAAGAAAUCUUAAUAUGGUUCUUUCUAGUGAUGCCUUAUCUGAUCUUUUCAGGUUAUUGCAAACAGAGCAGCUGAAAUUCUUGGCCAUAAGCGGGGCGAAAAGCAUGUGCACCCAAACGACCAUGUGAACAGAUCACAAUCAUCAAAUGACACAUUUCCUACUGUGAUGCACAUUGCUGCUGCUAUGGAGAUAAAUAAAAGAUUAGUACCAAACUUAAAACAGUUGCAUACUUCACUACACUCGAAGAAAAUGAUUAAGGCAGAAGCUGUUCUUACUGAUUGCAUCUUCACUUGAGCAGCUUGCACAAGGAGGCACAGCAGUUGGAACAGGAUUGAACACAAAAAAGGGGAAAGAUAUCAAGAAAUAUUACGGGAAAAAUCACAGUCUCAGUCUGAUAUUGAUCAAUGUGAAGCAUAUUACGAAGCUGCUGGGGGAACAAGGAAGAGAAGAAUAUAUGGUCUUGGAUCUCAAGCACAAAGUUAUCUGCUUUUUGUUGGAAAGAACAAAAUUAUGCACUAACAAUACUUGAUGGAUGUGUGGGUUCUUUUGGUAGUUGAUAGCUUGGUGUUGUCGGUGUUUUGGACUUAACGAUUAGGAUUUCGCUAUCUAUUUGGAAUCUUUUUUAUAAAUAUUAUUUUAUGUGAAUGUCAGUUAUUUUUAAGGGUAUU